GACGAACGCUGGCGGCGUGCUUUACACAUGCAAGUCGAACGGUGAAGGUGGAGCUUGCUCCGCCGGAUCAGUGGCGAACGGGUGAGUAACACGUGGGCAACCUGCCCCUAACUUUGGGAUAACUACUCGAAAGAGUAGCUAAUACCGGAUAUGAAGUCUGUAGGCAUCUAUGGAUUUGGAAAGUUUCUCGGUUAGGGAUGGGCCCGCGGCCUAUCAGCUUGUUGGUGAGGUAGUGGCUCACCAAGGCGACGACGGGUAGCCGGCCUGAGAGGGCGACCGGCCACACUGGGACUGAGACACGGCCCAGACUCCUACGGGAGGCAGCAGUGGGGAAUAUUGCGCAAUGGGCGGAAGCCUGACGCAGCAACGCCGCGUGCGGGAUGAAGGCCUUCGGGUUGUAAACCGCUUUCAGCACCGACGAAGCGCAAGUGACGGAAGGUGCAGAAGAAGGACCGGCCAACUACGUGCCAGCCGCCGCGGUAA
RNAcentral lists this ribosomal RNA (483 nucleotides) under uncultured bacterium. Its description in RNAcentral is "partial 16S ribosomal RNA". It matches the Rfam family "Bacterial small subunit ribosomal RNA", at positions 28 to 523 of the family's 1533-position model. The record is from RNAcentral.